UACGUAGGGUGCGAGCGUUGUCCGGAUUUAUUGGGCGUAAAGAGCGUGUAGGCGGUUAGGUAGGUCCGUUGUGAAAACUCGAGGCUCAACCUCGAGACGCCGAUGGAAACCAUCUGACUAGAGUCCGGAAGAGGAGAGUGGAAUUCCUGGUGUAGCGGUGAAAUGCGCAGAUAUCAGGAAGAACACCGAUGGCGAAGGCAGGUCUCUGGGCUGACACUGACGCUCAUGCACGAAAGCGUGGGGAGCAAACAGG
This 253-nucleotide ribosomal RNA is filed under the name uncultured bacterium. RNAcentral's name for it is "partial 16S ribosomal RNA". It matches the Rfam family "Bacterial small subunit ribosomal RNA", at positions 524 to 776 of the family's 1533-position model. The record is from RNAcentral.